AACGAACGCUGGCGGCAGGCCUAAACAUGCAAGUCGAGCGGGCAUAGCAAUAUGUCAGCGGCGGACGGGUGAAUAACACGUGGGAACAUGCCCUUUGGUACGGAACAACUCAGGGAAACUUGAGCUAAUACCGUAUGUGCCGGUAACGGGAAAGAUUUAUCGCCAAAGGAUUGGCCCGCGUCCGAUUAGCUAGUUGGUGAGGUAACGGCUCACCAAGGCGACGAUCGGUAGCUGGUUUGAGAGAACGAUCAGCCACACUGGGACUGAGACACGGCCCAGACUCCUACGGGAGGCUGCAGUAACGAAUCUUCCGCAAUGCACGCAAGUGUGACGGAGCGACGCCGCGUGUGGGACGAAGCCCUUCGGGUGGUAACACUGUCAGGGACAGAAAGUUCUGAUCGUCCCCCAGAGGAAGGCACGGCUAACUCUGUGCCAGCAGCCGCGGUAAC
Molecule: ribosomal RNA, 449 nt
Filed under: uncultured bacterium
Lineage: Bacteria
Description: bacterial SSU rRNA
Rfam family: Bacterial small subunit ribosomal RNA
Source: RNAcentral